GGGGGCGCACUGGUUUCGACGGGGGUACAUGAGGUUACAGUUGCAUGCCGAGGACUCCGCUGGCCUCGUAAAAAAGCGGAAACCAAAUCAAUUGCCAACGAUUACGAAGUGGCACUGGCUGCUUAAUUAAGCCAGCGUCUGCCCGGUACUUGCCUACGGUAUUGGGGUUGGGCGUUACGAUGUAGGAUAGCCUAAGCGAGAGCCCCGCCUGUGGCGCACGCCUGAGCGAAAACAAAUACAAGGCUAGCACACGCCUUGCCCGGCUGGGGAGGUUGGGCGGUGCGAAACACACUCCCCGGACAAGCAUGUAGAGGCUGUGGCUGAAGGCUUUCGGACGCGGGUUCGAUUCCCGCCGCUUCCACUU
This 364-nucleotide transfer-messenger RNA is filed under the name Candidatus Entotheonella serta. It matches the Rfam family "transfer-messenger RNA". From Rfam's summary of the family: Bacterial tmRNA, also known as 10Sa RNA or SsrA, is named for its dual tRNA and mRNA-like properties. Its role is to liberate the mRNA from a stalled ribosome. To accomplish this part of the tmRNA is used as a reading frame that ends in a translation stop signal. Lineage: Bacteria; Pseudomonadati; Candidatus Tectimicrobiota; Candidatus Entotheonellia; Candidatus Entotheonellales; Candidatus Entotheonellaceae. The record is from RNAcentral.